AGGGUGUAAACGCUGCAGACUUGGUGUUGGAGGCCCUUUGGGGGCAUUCAGUGCCGGAGAGAAGUUGUUAAGUCUGCUACUUGGGGAGUACGUCCGCAAGGAUGAAACUUAAAGGAAUUGGCGGGGGAGCACCGCAACGGGAGGAGCGUGCGGUUUAAUUGGAUUCAACACCGUAAAACUCACCAAGGGCGACUGUUACAUGAAAGCCAGGCUAAUGACCUUGCUUGAUUUUCAGAGAGGAGGUGCAUGGCGUCAGUGACU
This 261-nucleotide ribosomal RNA is filed under the name uncultured archaeon. RNAcentral's name for it is "partial 16S ribosomal RNA". It matches the Rfam family "Archaeal small subunit ribosomal RNA", at positions 748 to 1008 of the family's 1478-position model. The record is from RNAcentral.